This is a non-coding RNA of Acanthosepion pharaonis, 112 nucleotides long. The record is from the annotation of a GenBank genome assembly. NCBI's taxonomy places the organism in Eukaryota, Metazoa, Mollusca, Cephalopoda, Sepiida, Sepiidae.
ACGGCCACAUCACGUUGAAACCGCGGUUCUCGUACGAUCACCGAAGUUAAGCAACGUCGGGUCUGGCCAGUACGCAGAUGUGUGACAGCUUGGGAAUACCAAACGCUGUAAG